RNAcentral lists this ribosomal RNA (1280 nucleotides) under uncultured Sebacina. RNAcentral describes it as "eukaryotic LSU rRNA". The stretch from base 606 to 1280 matches the Rfam family "Eukaryotic large subunit ribosomal RNA", at positions 1 to 656 of the family's 3401-position model. The record is from RNAcentral. Lineage: Eukaryota; Fungi; Basidiomycota; Agaricomycetes; Sebacinales; Sebacinaceae.
UUCCGUAGGUGAACCUGCGGAAGGAUCAUUAGUGAAUCUUCAAAGUCGGCUCGUCGGAUUGUGCUGGUGGGCAACCACAUGUGCACGUCUACGGGUCGCAAAUCCACACACCUGUGCAUCUAUGACUCUGAGUGCCGCUUUGCAUGGCCCUUGAUUGGACCUGGCGCUCGAGUACUUUUCACACACUCUUGAAUGUAACGGAAUGUCAAUGUUGUGCACAAUGUACAAACGAAACAACUUUCAACAACGGAUCUCUUGGCUCUCGCAUCGAUGAAGAACGCAGCGAAAUGCGAUAAGUAAUGUGAAUUGCAGAAUUCAGUGAAUCAUCGAAUCUUUGAACGCACCUUGCACCCUUUGGUAUUCCGAAGGGUACACCCGUUUGAGUGUCAUUGUAAUCUCACUACCAUCGACUUUGGUCUUUUCGGUAUGUGGACUUGGAUGCUGCCGUUGUUGUCGACGGCUCGUCUGAAAUGCCUGAGUGUACCCCGCUUUGCGGCGUAUUCGGUGUGAUACAUCUUCACCGGAGUUGAUCCUUGUGGUCGCGUCUGUAAUGGUGUGGCUCUAUGCUUCCAACCGUCUCUUUGGUUAGACAAUCUCUGACAAUUUGACCUCAAAUCGGGUGGGACUACCCGCUGAACUUAAGCAUAUCAAUAAGCGGAGGAAAAGAAACUAACAAGGAUUCCCCUAGUAACGGCGAGUGAAGAGGGAAAAGCUCAAAUUUUGAAUCUGGUGUCUUUGACUCCCGAGUUGUAAUCUAGAGAAGUGUUUUCCGUGUCGGACCGUGCACAAGUUCCCUGGAACGGGGCGUCAUAGAGGGUGAGAAUCCCGUAUAUGGCAUGGACUACCGAUGCUUUUGUGAUACACUCUCAACGAGUCGAGUUGUUUGGGAAUGCAGCUCAAAAUGGGUGGUAAAUUCCAUCUAAAGCUAAAUAUUGGCGAGAGACCGAUAGCGAACAAGUACCGUGAGGGAAAGAUGAAAAGCACUUUGGAAAGAGAGUGAAACAGUACGUGAAAUUGUUGAAAGGGAAGCGUUUGAAGUCAGUCAUAUCUGGCGGGAUUCAGCCGGGCUUUUGCCAGGUGUACUUCUCGUCCGAUGGGUCAGCAUCAAUUUCGACCGGGGGAAAAAGGCAUUGGGAAUGUGGCUGUCUUCGGGCAGUGUUAUAGCCUCGUGUUGUAUGCCUCGGUUGGGAUUGAGGAACGCAGCGCGCCGCAUGGCCAGGGGUUCGCCUCUUGACACGCGCUUAGGAUGCUGGCAUAAUGGCUUUAAGCGACCCGUCUUG